RNAcentral lists this ribosomal RNA (492 nucleotides) under uncultured bacterium. RNAcentral's name for it is "partial 16S ribosomal RNA". It matches the Rfam family "Bacterial small subunit ribosomal RNA", at positions 29 to 507 of the family's 1533-position model. The record is from RNAcentral.
AGUGAACGCUGGCGGUAGGCCUAACACAUGCAAGUCGAACGGCAGCACAGUAAGAGCUUGCUCUUACGGGUGGCGAGUGGCGGACGGGUGAGGAAUACAUCGGAAUCUACUUUUUCGUGGGGGAUAACGUAGGGAAACUUACGCUAAUACCCCAAACGACCUACGGGUGAAAGCAGGGGAUCUUCGGACCUUGCUCGAUUGAAGGAGCCGAUGUCGGAUUAGCUAGUUGGCGGGGUAAAGGCCCACCAAGGCGACGAUCCGUAGCUGGUCUGAGAGGAUGAUCAGCCACACUGGAACUGAGACACGGUCCAGACUCCUACGGGAGGCAGCAGUGGGGAAUAUUGGACAAUGGGCGCAAGCCUGAUCCAGCCAUACCGCGUGGGUGAAGAAGGCCUUCGGGUUGUAAAGCCCUUUUGUUGGGAAAGAAAAGCAGCAGGUUAAUACCCCGCUGUUCUGACGGUACCCAAAGAAUAAGCACCGGCUAACUUCGUG